GACGAACGCUGGCGGCGUGCUUAACACAUGCAAGUCGAACGGAAAGGCCUCUUUCGGGGGGUACUCGAGUGGCGAACGGGUGAGUAACACGUGAGUAACCUGCCCUUGACUUUGGGAUAACUUCAGGAAACUGGGGCUAAUACCGGAUAGGAGCUCCUGCUGCAUGGUGGGGGUUGGAAAGUUUCGGCGGUUGGGGAUGGACUCGCGGCUUAUCAGCUUGUUGGUGGGGUAGUGGCUUACCAAGGCUUUGACGGGUAGCCGGCCUGAGAGGGUGACCGGCAACUUUGGGACGGGGUUCGGGCCAAGACUCUUAGGGGAGGAAGCAGUGGGAAUAUUGCACAAUGGGUGGAAGCCUGAUGCAGCAACGCCGUGUGCGGGAUGACGGCCUUCGGGUUGUAAACCGCUUUCGCUCAUGACGAAGCUUUGUGUGACGGUAGUGGGUAAAGAAGCACCGGCUAACUACGUG
Molecule: ribosomal RNA, 466 nt
Filed under: uncultured bacterium
Lineage: Bacteria
Description: partial 16S ribosomal RNA
Rfam family: Bacterial small subunit ribosomal RNA
Source: RNAcentral